CCAGACUGUGGCAGUGAGGCUUGCGGUGCCUCCUCCCUGGAUCUCCCCUCUGUCUGCCUCCAGCCUCGCCUCUGAGCCUGCUCUUGAAGCGACGGUACCAUCUGCUGACGCCAACAGGCCCUGCUCGCUGACCAGACCCCAGACUGUUCCUGACCCACAGGCUCUGCUCGCUGACCAGACCCCAGACUGUUCCUGACCCCA
RNAcentral lists this long non-coding RNA (201 nucleotides) under Homo sapiens (human). RNAcentral describes it as "HSALNT0157167". The record is from RNAcentral. Lineage: Eukaryota; Metazoa; Chordata; Mammalia; Primates; Hominidae.